UUAUGACUUUUGUUUAAUUGU
RNAcentral lists this non-coding RNA (21 nucleotides) under Caenorhabditis elegans. Lineage: Eukaryota; Metazoa; Nematoda; Chromadorea; Rhabditida; Rhabditidae. The record is from RNAcentral.